Molecule: ribosomal RNA, 633 nt
Filed under: Levilactobacillus brevis
Lineage: Bacteria; Bacillati; Bacillota; Bacilli; Lactobacillales; Lactobacillaceae
Description: bacterial SSU rRNA
Rfam family: Bacterial small subunit ribosomal RNA
Source: RNAcentral
AAUGGACGAAAGUCUGAUGGAGCAAUGCCGCGUGAGUGAAGAAGGGUUUCGGCUCGUAAAACUCUGUUGUUAAAGAAGAACACCUUUGAGAGUAACUGUUCAAGGGUUGACGGUAUUUAACCAGAAAGCCACGGCUAACUACGUGCCAGCAGCCGCGGUAAUACGUAGGUGGCAAGCGUUGUCCGGAUUUAUUGGGCGUAAAGCGAGCGCAGGCGGUUUUUUAAGUCUGAUGUGAAAGCCUUCGGCUUAACCGGAGAAGUGCAUCGGAGACUGGGAGACUUGAGUGCAGAAGAGGACAGUGGAACUCCAUGUGUAGCGGUGGAAUGCGUAGAUAUAUGGAAGAACACCAGUGGCGAAGGCGGCUGUCUAGUCUGUAACUGACGCUGAGGCUCGAAAGCAUGGGUAGCGAACAGGAUUAGAUACCCUGGUAGUCCAUGCCGUAAACGAUGAGUGCUAAGUGUUGGAGGGUUUCCGCCCUUCAGUGCUGCAGCUAACGCAUUAAGCCACUCCGCCUGGGGAGUACGACCGCAAGGUUGAAACUCAUAGGAAUUGACCGGGGCCCGCACAAGCCGUGGAGCAUGUGGUUAAUUCGAAGCUACGCGAGAACCUUACCAGGUCUUGACAUCUUCUGCC